CAGUCGCCGCGGUAAUACGUAGGGUGCAAGCGUUAAUCGGAAUUACUGGGCGUAAAGCGUGCGCAGGCGGUUUUGUAAGACAGAGGUGAAAUCCCCGGGCUCAACCUGGGAACUGCAUUUGAAACUGGCAGGCUAGAGUCUUGUAGAGGGGGGUAGAAUUCCAGGUGUAGCGGUGAAAUGCGUAGAGAUCUGGAGGAAUACCGGUGGCGAAGGCGGCCCCCUGGACAAAGACUGACGCUCAGGUGCGAAAGCGUGGGGAGCAAACAGGAUUAGAUACCCGAGUAGUCCCUGUCUCUUAUAA
RNAcentral lists this ribosomal RNA (301 nucleotides) under uncultured bacterium. RNAcentral's name for it is "partial 16S ribosomal RNA". It matches the Rfam family "Bacterial small subunit ribosomal RNA", at positions 509 to 809 of the family's 1533-position model. The record is from RNAcentral.